AGUGAACGCUGGCGGUAGGCCUAACACAUGCAAGUCGAACGGCAGCACAGUAAGAGCUUGCUCUUACGGGUGGCGAGUGGCGGACGGGUGAGGAAUACAUCGGCAUCUACUUUUUCGUGGGGGAUAACGUAGGGAAACUUACGCUAAUACCGCAUACGACCUACGGGUGAAAGCAGGGGAUCUUCGGACCUUGCGCGACUGAAUGAGCCGAUGUCGGAUUAGAUAGUUGGCGGGGUAAAGGCCCACCAAGGCGACGAUCCGUAGCUGGUCGGAGAGGAUGAUCAGCCACACUGGAACUGAGACACGGUCCAGACUCCUACGGGAGGCAGCAGUGGGGAAUAUUGGACAAUGGGCGCAAGCCUGAUCCAGCCAUACCGCGUGGGUGAAGAAGGCCUUCGGGUUGUAAAGCCCUUUUGUUGGGAAAGAAAAGCAGCAGGUUAAUACCCCGCUGUUCUGACGGUACCCAAAGAAUAAGCACCGGCUAACUUCGUG
Molecule: ribosomal RNA, 492 nt
Filed under: uncultured bacterium
Lineage: Bacteria
Description: partial 16S ribosomal RNA
Rfam family: Bacterial small subunit ribosomal RNA
Source: RNAcentral